GAUGAAGAACGUAGCAAAAUGCGAUACUUGGUGUGAAUUGCAGAAUCCCGUGAACCAUCGAGUCUUUGAACGCAAGUUGCGCCCGAAGCCAUUAGGCCGAGGGCACGCCUGCCUGGGCGUCACACGUCGUUGCCCCCCCAUCUACUCCUUCGGGAUUGCGGGGGGCGGAUGAUGGCCUCUCGCGCGCCUCGUCGCGCGGUUGGCCUAAAUGCCAAGUCCUCGGCGACGCACGCCACGACAAUCGGUGGUUGCGAAACCUCGGUUGCCUGUCGUGUGCGGUCGUCGCGCAUCGAGGGCUCGAAAAAAUUGCCGGGCUUCGGCUCGACUUUCAACGCGACCCCAGGUCAGGCGGGGUUACCCGCUGAAUUUAAGCAUAUCAAUAAGCGGAGGA
Molecule: unclassified non-coding RNA, 391 nt
Filed under: soil metagenome
Description: partial contains 5.8S ribosomal RNA, internal transcribed spacer 2, and large subunit ribosomal RNA
Rfam family: 5.8S ribosomal RNA (bases 1-122)
Source: RNAcentral